RNAcentral lists this ribosomal RNA (508 nucleotides) under Staphylococcus aureus. RNAcentral describes it as "partial 23S ribosomal RNA". It matches the Rfam family "Bacterial large subunit ribosomal RNA", at positions 1780 to 2287 of the family's 2925-position model. Lineage: Bacteria; Bacillati; Bacillota; Bacilli; Caryophanales; Staphylococcaceae. The record is from RNAcentral.
CAGUGAAUAGGCCCAAGCGACUGUUUAUCAAAAACACAGGUCUCUGCUAAACCGUAAGGUGAUGUAUAGGGGCUGACGCCUGCCCGGUGCUGGAAGGUUAAGAGGAGUGGUUAGCUUCUGCGAAGCUACGAAUCGAAGCCCCAGUAAACGGCGGCCGUAACUAUAACGGUCCUAAGGUAGCGAAAUUCCUUGUCGGGUAAGUUCCGACCCGCACGAAAGGCGUAACGAUUUGGGCACUGUCUCAACGAGAGACUCGGUGAAAUCAUAGUACCUGUGAAGAUGCAGGUUACCCGCGACAGGACGGAAAGACCCCGUGGAGCUUUACUGUAGCCUGAUAUUGAAAUUCGGCACAGCUUGUACAGGAUAGGUAGGAGCCUUUGAAACGUGAGCGCUAGCUUACGUGGAGGCGCUGGUGGGAUACUACCCUAGCUGUGUUGGCUUUCUAACCCGCACCACUUAUCGUGGUGGGAGACAGUGUCAGGCGGGCAGUUUGACUGGGGCGGUCGCC